AGCUAAAUCUACAGCAAAUAUUUGCUUUUCUGGUUCUGGCUGUGACAGUAAUUCAGGAAUCCAAUCAAGACAAAUAUGCAUGGAUGGAAUACCAGUAACUGUAAUGGGUAACAGCUCUCUUGGAUAACCCUAUAAGUAAAGAAAUAUGGAAGAAUAUAUGGAGCGGACAAAGGAGAGAUAACAGAACUGAUUCAAGGUCUGGAUUUAUUUCAGAGAAAAGAACCUGACUCUAAAUGCGAGAAAAGCAAAGGUAAACGAAAUUCAAGGGGGGCAGGGGAUAGAAAAAUGAAGGAGGAAAAAUGGAAAUGGGAGCAGGAAGUUCGUGUUAGAGAAAGGGAUAGAUAUAU
Bombus impatiens (common eastern bumble bee) is the source of this 347-nucleotide long non-coding RNA. RefSeq lists it as uncharacterized. The transcript is spliced from 3 exons. The record is from RefSeq and is a predicted model, not a curated record. Lineage: Eukaryota; Metazoa; Arthropoda; Insecta; Hymenoptera; Apidae.